Molecule: small RNA, 141 nt
Filed under: Salmonella enterica subsp. enterica serovar Kentucky
Lineage: Bacteria; Pseudomonadati; Pseudomonadota; Gammaproteobacteria; Enterobacterales; Enterobacteriaceae
Description: RtT sRNA
Rfam family: RtT RNA (bases 24-134)
About the family: This family represents a bacterial cis-regulatory element known as RtT RNA. The exact function of RtT is unknown although it is thought that it may be involved in changing the cellular response in relation to amino acid starvation.
Source: RNAcentral
CACGCCACCGGGCCGUCAGGGUCUUAUUUCUCCUGCGCCAGCCGGCAAGAGGUUCGACCCGAGCGAAGCGAGAGAACGUUGCUUCAGCAACGGCCCGCAGGGCGAGCCACGCAGUGGCGAGUCAUCCUCUAUCACCGACCA